This 739-nucleotide ribosomal RNA is filed under the name uncultured soil bacterium. RNAcentral's name for it is "bacterial SSU rRNA". It matches the Rfam family "Bacterial small subunit ribosomal RNA", at positions 8 to 736 of the family's 1533-position model. The record is from RNAcentral.
AGAGUUUGAUCCUGGCUCAGAGUGAACGCUGGCGGCAGGCCUAACACAUGCAAGUCGAACGGCAGCACAGGAGAGCUUGCUCUCUGGGUGGCGAGUGGCGGACGGGUGAGGAAUACAUCGGAAUCUACCUUUUCGUGGGGGAUAACGUAGGGAAACUUACGCUAAUACCGCAUACGACCUUCGGGUGAAAGCAGGGGACCUUCGGGCCUUGCGCGAUUAGAUGAGCCGAUGUCGGAUUAGCUAGUUGGUGAGGUAAAGGCUCACCAAGGCGACGAUCCGUAGCUGGUCUGAGAGGAUGAUCAGCCACACUGGAACUGAGACACGGUCCAGACUCCUACGGGAGGCAGCAGUGGGGAAUAUUGGACAAUGGGCGCAAGCCUGAUCCAGCCAUGCCGCGUGGGUGAAGAAGGCCUUCGGGUUGUAAAGCCCUUUUGUUGGGAAAGAAAAGCAGUCGAUUAAUACUCGAUUGUUCUGACGGUACCCAAAGAAUAAGCACCGGCUAACUUCGUGCCAGCAGCCGCGGUAAUACGAAGGGUGCAAGCGUUACUCGGAAUUACUGGGCGUAAAGCGUGCGUAGGUGGUGAUUUAAGUCCGUUGUGAAAGCCCUGGGCUCAACCUGGGAAUUGCAGUGGAUACUGGGUCACUAGAGUGUGGUAGAGGGUAGCGGAAUUCCCGGUGUAGCAGUGAAAUGCGUAGAGAUCGGGAGGAACAUCUGUGGCGAAGGCGGCUACCUGGACCA